GUUUACUCGAGAAUCUUCUGGAGAGUUCCAGGGCUUCGCAGUGUCAUCAAGUGGAGAGCAAGGGGCCUGGGUUUCCUCGUCGAAGGUGAAGGGCGGUGUCGCUCAGUUGCUGUUAUCUGGUCUACAUUGCCGCUGUUCGAGUGGUCGCUGGUUCACCCUCCAUGGUCUCCAUCGCAAGGUCUUCUCUGUCUCAUCGGAGGAGGAAGGGAGAAAGAACGCUAAUCGUUGUCUUGUCCGAGGUAGGAGAUGAACCAACCGCAUGGCUGAUCGGGGCAAAUGGACGACGUGAGGGGCGGCGGAGGAUCCGAAGGUGACGGUGAUGGCGCUGCCAGGGGUGCCCUGGGGGCCGUCGGGUGGGUGCGUACGGGGGCAUGUCAGCGGACAAUAUCAAGGGUUUGGUGCUUGCUUGGUCGUCGAGUUUCUUCAUAGGUUCUGGCUUCAUCAUCAAGAAGAAGGCUUUGACGAAGGCCGGCUCGUCUGGGGUUAGGGCAGAUUAAAGAGGGAGCAGUGUGUGGGCCCUUUUCAAGGAGGACAAUGCACUCAUUCUUCGCUGUAUCCCUUAGGCGGCGCUUUUUCCUUGCAAAUCGAGACGUGAUUCAAACCAGAUGAGUUUGUAGAAAACUUUGCAUAUUAUGGUAGCUGUAGUGGAGCAGCUUAGAGGUGCACUUGGAGAAUCAAGACUGCUAGUUCUUUUUUGUGUUGCAGCACACAUAAACCAGUAUCCUAACCUCAAAAUCUAGCUUGUGCUAUCUUGCAAAUCUGGCCAUCAUAGAAAUAGAAAUAACAAAGGUGGACUAUCUCUACAACUUGAGAACUUGGCAGCCUAAUCCAAGAGUUUUUGAAAGAAUGAGGAAUAGUGGUUUUGGUAAUAUGUUGCUAGUAGCACUUGUUAGGUAUGAUCUUCAUUUUAUUAUAGUCUUACUGAGAUUUAUAAUAUAGAAAUCCAUAUUAUUAUUGUUUAACAAUUUUAGGUUGUCUUAGUUUGUAAAAUGUUUUAUAUAUUACUGGUUUGUCAAUGGAUGGUAAGCCAAUAGAAGGUGUAAAUCAUAAUAUAAUUUUGUUAUGUUAAAAAUAUUUAGAUAUUGGAAAUAUCGAGUCUAGGACAGAUCACUAGAGUUUAGAGUGGUUUGGAUAAAAUUUCAAAGUGGCUUCUAAACAUAUAGGGUAAGAUUGUCCUCAUCUUGCAUCAUAUGUUCAAGCUUACAUUUUAUUUCUUGUUUAUUCAUUUGUACUUUGUAACAAAAAUGGAAAUAAUUUUUCCACUUCAUAUAUUUUUCUCUUUUAGAAAAUUUUGAGGAGGAUAGAGAUUGUGCUUUGGAUGCUGCUUUAUUGGCACACCUUCAUAUUGCAUUUUGGGAUUGGAAGAAAAAGUCACUGGGGCCAUAAUUUUCUUUUACAGAUAUUAUUAAUUUUUUAUUUUUUUGUGAUUAGCAAAAAAUUGUUUCUUUCAGUUGUUUGAAUUUUUCACCCAAAAAGUCGCCCACAUGCUUGAUCCUAAUCUUUGCAUCCAUUGGUCCACCUCCACUAAUAUUUAGGAGUGGAUUCUCCUCGAGCUCAACAUGCAUACUCUUCUUAUUUUCCAUCCUUUUCUUGGAACUAGCUUAAAAUAUAGGUCAUAAAUUUUUUAAUUAAUUUUUUAACUUGUAUAAUAGUAUGUACAUCAAGUCUAUUCUUGAUCUUGAUGUAGAAUUGUUGUUUUAUUUCCCAUCCUUCUUGAUAUGAUUAAUUACAAAAGAAAUAUUUUUUACUGACUGCAAAAGAAACAAAAAACUAAUGUGUGCUUGUAGAAGAAAAUUGUGGCCCCUCAAACUAUUCGAAGUUUUCAUCCCUCAAUUAUGUAAUGCAGCACGGAGAUGUGCCAAUAAAGAAAUUUUUUUGAAUAUUAUUUUUUUAAAUUUAAUUCAUAAAAUACUUUCAUAUUAAAUUUAUUUAUGAAUCUAUCGUAGUUUGGAUGAUAUGGGAUGCACAUAUAAAAUCAUGGGUUAAAUCCAUGAUUUAUUGCCAUGCAAGAUGAAAUUGUAGGUUGAAUCCAUGAUUUUUCUUUGAAGUGGUUUGUUAAGAUGUCACUGAAAAUGAAAUCGUGAGUUGAACCUACGAUUUCAAUGAAUUCGUAGGUUGAACCCACGAUUUCGUGACAGUCUUCUUUUUUUUUUUUUCAAAAUUUUUCUUCAAUCUUACUUAUCCCCCUAUUCUAAUCUAUCCCCAAUCCUAAACCCUCGUCUUCAUUCUAAAAUCUUUAAGAUCCUCUCCUAUCCUAUAAACCAACCUAAUAGCUUCAGAAAGAGGUAGAGGUAUAUUGAAAGCAAAGAGGGUUCGAGUAGAAAAAGAAAAAUAAUCUUUAUUUAGGUAUGAAGAAGAUUUAUUUUUGAAUAAUGAGUGUAGAAAAAGUUUAGAUCUAAUUUUUCUCGAACAAAAGUUGUGGGGGAAGGAUGGUAGACUUAAAUCAUUUUAGUGAUUUUUGAAUUGGAUAUUUAUUUGAAAGGAUGUAUUGGUUAUCUAUGAUGAUGCUCAACAAGUUAAUCUAUGCUAUUUUAGUGAAAUAUUUUUAUAGUAGUUUUAGUUUUAACAGCUCAAAUUGUUGUAUUUCAUCGUAUAUUAAAAAAAAAGAUUAUUGAGUUUGACUUUAAUCUUCUUGGUCAAAUAUUGGGAAUUUCGUCAGAUGGUGAUGAAUACUUCCAUAGCAUUUGUUGGAGUCAUCCAGUUUUAGGUUAUUGUGCUUUUGCUAGAACUAUUUUUGAGGAUGAUAGUUUAGGUCGAACCGCUAAACUUAAUGCACAUGUAUUGCUACUUAAGAAUCGACUCGUUCAUCAUAUUUUUAUAUUUAAUUUUCUAUCUAAAGGAGAUCAAAGAGAUAAUAUGUCGCGCCUAAAUAUUUAUCUUCUCAAAAUGAUUGUUUCGGAUGGUAGGGUUAAUUUGCUAUAUAUAAUGGUACAUUAUAUGAAUGAAUGCUUUCAAGGUACAAAAUUCUAUUUAUCCUAUGGAGCUGAUACAUUAUACAUUGUGUAGUUUUGUCCUAUGGAUAUUAUACUUGAAAUAAGAUAGUUUAUCAGAAAUCUCAAAUUCAAGAUAAAUCUGGUCAAAAUACAUGAUUUUAUUUGACAACUAGCUGUGUCAUAAGUAAAGAAAAAUGUGCUUACAAUAAAUCAAUUACAUUACUCUAAAAUCAAAUAAAAAAGAUGAAACAUCAUCAAGUGGUGUGUCAUAUAUUGCAACUAGAGCUGAUCAUGGGACGGGCGUCGGACCUAAACUCUAUUUAUUUUUACUCAGGUUUCGGGCUGGGCCUAUGCAAAAUUUGAUAGUCUCUGGGCCCAAACUCGAUCCAUGGUCAGGUUUAACUGCAACCAAAAGCCGAAGCCUAAUCAUGCGCUAGAGGGUGCUAUGGUAGCAGAGGGAACUAAUGAUCAAACUAUGCAAAUCCCUCGUCCAAGCGGCUUGUCAUAAAUGCCUCAACCUCGUCUAGUCACCUCAUCAUGGAUGCCUCGAGAGUGUCAGUCGAUGUGUCGAUUUGUGCUGUGAGAGAUUCGAUUCGAGCAAACAAUGCUUGUAGAUUGGAACAUUGUUGAUCAAACUACAUAUACCAACCUGGCUGGGUUGGGAGUAUAAGCUAUGUAGGCUGAGCAAGGUGCCUAUGUUGGUAUUUGUUGAUAGUCUGACCUUCUACUCCACUAUCAUUUUCUUCAUGCACCUCAGCAUUUCACUUCCAUACCCCAUCAGUAAAUGUAUACCUCAUACGCUUUAUAGAUGAAUGAUUGUAGGUGUCAAUGGGUCUAAGCUUAAUAACUUCAUCGUCAUCAGUGAUAGAGACAUCAGAGGUCUCGAAGAUAGCAGUCAUAAUAGCUCUAUAAGAUAAAUAGGAUUUUGAAAGCAUUCAUUCAUAUAAUGUAUCAUCAUAUAUGACAAAUUAAUUCAUCUAAAACUAUCAUUUUGAAGAGAUAAAUAUCUAGGUACGAUAUAUUAUCUUUGUGACCUCCUCUAGAUAGAAAAUUAAAUGUAAAAAUAUGAUGAAUAAGUCGAUUCUCAAGUGGCAAUUCAUGUGCAUCAGGUUUAUCAGUUCGAUUUAAACUAUCAUCUUCAAAAACAGUUCUAACAGAGGCACGAUAAAUUAAAAUUGGAUGACUCUAAUAAGUGUGGUUAAAGUAUUCAUCAUUAUUUGAUGGAAUGUCCAAUAUUUGAUCAAAAAAACUAAAAUCAAACUCAAUAAUUUUUCUUUUGACAUGCGAUGAAAUAAAAUAAUUUGAGUUGUCAAAAUUAAAAUUACUAUAAAAAUAGUUUACUAGAAUAUGAGAGGUUGAUUUGUUGAGCAUAAUUAUAAAUAAUCAAUCUAUCCUUUCAAAUAAAUAUCCAAUUCGAAAAUUACUAAAAUAAUUUAAUUCUAUUGUCCUCCCUGGUACAAUUUUUUUAGAGAAAAAUUAGAUCUAAAUUUUUCUUUACAUUCAUUAUUCAAAAACAAAUCUUAUUCAUACCUACGUGAAUAUUGUUUUUCUUUUUCUACUCAAGUUCUCUUUGCUUUUGACAUACCUCUAUUUUUUUUUUGAAGUCGGUUGGUCUUUUGUAGGAUGAGAGAGGAUUUUGAUGAUUUUAUUAUGAGAACGAUGGUUUGGGGUUGGGGAUAGGUUUAAAAUAGGGGAGAGGAUCGAAUAAUGAAGAAAAAUUUUGAAAAAAAAAAAAAAAGGGCUGUCAUGAAAUUGUGGGUUCAACCUACGAUUUCAGUGACACCUCAGCAAAUCACUUCAAACGGAGAUUAUGGGUUCAAUUUAUGAUUUUGUUUUACAUGGCAAUGAAAUCGUGGGUUCGAUCUAUGAUUUUAUACGUGGCAUCCCACAUCACCCAAACUACGGUAGAUUCGUAAAUAAGUUGAAAAUGGGGAUAUUUUGGGAAUUAAGUUUUUAAAAAAUAAUAUUUUAAAAAAAAUCCGCCAAUAAGGUAUAGUAUAAGCAUAAUUUCUAACCUCAACUACAAAGAGGAGACAUUAUUUCUGUUUUUUGUUAGGAAGAAAUAAAAUAUAAGCUCAAACAUAAGAUGCAAGAUGAGGACGGGCAUUCUAUAUGUUCAGCAAUCAUUCCGAAACUUCAUUUAAGCCACUCUAAAUUCAAUUCACCUAUUCUAAACUCAAUAAUUGUAGUAUCUAAAUAUUUUUCACAUAACAGAAUUGGAUUACAAUCUACAUCCGUUAUUGGCUUUGCAAUCAAUUGAUAAAUUAAUAAUAUGCAGCAUAUCUUGCAAACUAAGAUAUAACCUAAAAUUGUUAAACAAUAAUCUAAUCUAUAGGUUUCUAUAUCUUAAAAUCUUACUAUGGCUAUUAAAAUGGAGAGUAUACCUUCUCAUAUGCUUUGAAAGAGUUGCUUACAGCCGUCCGGUUCAAAGCAAUUUGAACUGGAUUUGUUUAAUCAACCAACUUGGGCCCAACCGCUCAAGUUUAAUACGAUUAAACAUUGUACGCCAAAGGAGAAGGGCUACACCAAGAAUCCAAAAUAUGUACCAUACCUUCAAGAAUGGGAGAAUAGGGCCAAUUUUAUUAUUGGUCCUGUUUGCCGAGAUCCCUCCCCUGGGACAGUCACUACUGCAAGACAUGCUUGGGCUUAAUCUUUGCAAGUUGCGGAAUUGGGAUCAGCAAGAUUUGUGCUGGCUUGUCGACAAUCCUCUCCUGAACAUACAUCUUCACAGGACAGAGUAUAGUCGAUGAUCCGAUGGAGGAUUAGAGUACAUUACAGUGUGCAACAAUAUUAUUAUGGUUUGAUAAUAUUGACUGUUUCAUGUGUAAAGGUCUAUUAAUGCACGCUCACAUGCCACAUCAAUGAAAGACAAUUGGAGAUGAUGGUGGGACGAAUAACAUGUUCAUUGUUUCCCACGGUUCCUUUUCUAAAAGCCUGCAGGACAUCUAUGAACAAUUAAGUUUAUGUUAUGUAAGCUUUUUUUUAUUUUUUUGCUGUGUACAGUUAUAUCAUUUGGAUUCCAGAUCUAAUUUGUGUUCUCUAAGGUAAUAAGAAUGGUGUGAAAAGACCUCACAGCAGAUUUCAACAUAUUGUUUCUGAGGCUAUAAAGUUACCGUGUUAAAGUCUUGUAAAAUUAAUUACCUUUUUUUUGAAUCUAUGCAGAUCAAAUUAUUUUUGAAAAAGUCCUUGGGUGAAAUUCCUUGGAAGCCAAGCAAGUGUUAUAAGUUGCAGCGAUUGUACCAUUAAACAGGAAUUACAGUGAAAUUGAAUGGAGUUAUCAAGAUGCCUGUAUAUGGUUGAAAAGUAACAGGUCUGUUCUACCGUAAUUUAUUGACAGCAAUGGAUUUUUUGUUUAACGGCAAGCGUAUUUCUUGA
This is a non-coding RNA of Elaeis guineensis (African oil palm), 6308 nucleotides long. The record is from RefSeq and is a predicted model, not a curated record. NCBI's taxonomy places the organism in Eukaryota, Viridiplantae, Streptophyta, Magnoliopsida, Arecales, Arecaceae.